AACGCUGGCGGCGUGCUUAACACAUGCAAGUCGAACGAACCUUCGGGUUAGUGGCGGACGGGUGAGUAACGCGUGAGAAUCUGCCCUCAGGAGGGGGAUAACGGUUGGAAACGACCGCUAAUACCCCAUAUGCCUACUGGUGAAAUGAAUUUCGCCUGAGGAUGAGCUCGCGUCUGAUUAGCUAGUUGGUGAGGUAAUGGCUCACCAAGGCUUCGAUCAGUAGCUGGUCUGAGAGGAUGAUCAGCCACACUGGGACUGAGACACGGCCCAGACUCCUACGGGAGGCAGCAGUGGGGAAUUUUCCGCAAUGGGCGAAAGCCUGACGGAGCAACGCCGCGUGAGGGACGAAGGCCUCUGGGCUGUAAACCUCUUUUCUCAAGGAAGAAGAUAUGACGGUACUGAGGAAUAAGCCACGGCUAAUUCCGUGCC
Molecule: ribosomal RNA, 429 nt
Filed under: uncultured Prochlorococcus sp.
Lineage: Bacteria; Bacillati; Cyanobacteriota; Cyanophyceae; Synechococcales; Prochlorococcaceae
Description: bacterial SSU rRNA
Rfam family: Bacterial small subunit ribosomal RNA
Source: RNAcentral